GAGUCAUCCCUUACUCUGCUGUUAAUUGUUAAUGAUUUCUUCAAAUGCGAGCCGGUAUUGCUCCUCGGAAGGUGCCAUAUUCCAAGAUGUAAAUCCAAGGUUAAUCCACAAAUUAGGUUUCAGCUGGCAGCGUGCGUGGCUAUAUUGUGAGAAUGGGAGAGCGUGCCAGGAGCAUGAGAGUGUGCCGUCUGCCAUGCAAACCUGAACCACAGACUAGAUCUUCAAAAUGACUUUGAUCAUGUAGUUCUGAAUCAUUUACCAGUGAGAUGGAGAGCAUGUGAAACACACGUGGGUAGUGAGCAAUGAGCAAUGAGAAGGCUAAUGCUAAAAACAUGGAAAGCAUGGUUAUCCUGAAAAGGGCUUAUUAAAAUUUAAUCAGAGGUGGGGGAGGAGAGGGCUUCUAAUCAGAUACAUAGAUCUGACUAGGCCCCAAAAGAGAGUUUAAAAAGCUGCCAUUAUUUCGUAUGCACUUUUAUAAUUUGCGCAGUCACGUUGUAUAUGAAGAAAUGUACGUAGAAUCCUGCGCGCGCACGGUUUUAUACAUGUGAAUCUUUUUGGUGCACACGCUACGUUUCAGUGUGAAUUAUGUGCAAGGCUUUGGUACAUGAGGCCCCAGGUGUCCUCCUCUGUCAGCUGAUCCACACCUGCUGCAGGUGAUCAGGUUCAGCGUCUGAGAGUCGAGAAAGCUGGAGCAAAAUGGAAGGACAGCGACCUUCAACCAGGAGGCGACCGAACUGAGAUUUCUCCGUGCGAACUUCCGAAUUUCCACGAUUUCCACCGAGGACCGACGAGGAGGGAACAGAACAAGAAACGUCCAGUUUCAGAAUCAACGAAUGGUCCAUCGAAGACCCAAGAGCACCAGUACCUGGAUUUACUGUAGUGUGGUUCAUUCACAGCACGGCUACUACAGGCUGCCUGGGAGACAUAAUCAAUAAUGUUGAUUACACCAUAAAACACAGAGGAACGAGCAAAGAAAGAAAACAGCCUCACACCAUAAACAGCUCAAAGAAACAGACAUUUUCCUGAAUAAAUUAGCUUCUUUGCUUGAAUCAUU
Long non-coding RNA from Seriola aureovittata, 1054 nucleotides. RefSeq lists it as uncharacterized. The record is from RefSeq and is a predicted model, not a curated record. The transcript is spliced from 3 exons. Lineage: Eukaryota; Metazoa; Chordata; Actinopteri; Carangiformes; Carangidae.